Non-coding RNA from Microcebus murinus (gray mouse lemur), 1406 nucleotides. NCBI's taxonomy places the organism in Eukaryota, Metazoa, Chordata, Mammalia, Primates, Cheirogaleidae. The record is from RefSeq and is a predicted model, not a curated record.
UUCUUAAAAGCAAUAUAGUCUAUGAAUAACUUUUUUAAUGCAUAAAAACCAUCUUCAAGGAAAUAAAUGGAGAACUUAUAAUGGAGAACUCUUACCAACUGGUAGAUAGUUUGCUAAGGUCACAUGGCUAGCAAGCAGCAGAGGCAGGAUUUACACUCAAAAGCUUCAGGCCCACCCCCACUGCACCCAGGCAGGAAGUGAAACCACCCCAUGUUACUUUAUUUUCUACUGACACAGUUUUCUUCCCCACUAAUCUCUGAGCAGCAUGACUGCAGAUACUUCCUUUCGUCUUUACGUCCCCAGACCUUAGCACGGCGCCUCUGUGGCACCUGGCAGGAGCUCGAUAUGUGUGUGUUGAGUAAAGGAGUGAGGAGAACCCAGGGAGAGAGUAUUAUAAUAUUCUGGAGUGCACGAGAAGAGAGCAUUUCAAGCAGGGAGGGUCCCAGUGUCAAAUGCCACAAGCUGGUUGUAUUAGUCAGGUGUCUCUUUAGAAAUAGUGCCCUGAAUAUAUAUUUAUUUCCUUUUUUUUUUCUUUUAAUAGGAAUCGGCUCAUGUAAUUAAGGAAGCUGAGAGGUCCUGCAAUCUGAUGUCUGCAAGCUGGAGAACCAGCAAAGCCUUUGUCUGAAGACCUAAGAACCAGAGGAGCUGAUGGUAUAAGACCCGCUCUGAGUCCAAAGGCCCAGGAUCGGAGGGCCAUUGACAGAAGUGUCCCAGUCCACGGCUGAAGGCCCGAGAACCAACAGCAAGAGGAGAUAGAUGUCCUAGCACCAUCCUAGCCCGCAGCUUCAAGGCGAGAGGACCAGCCACAUGUCACACUGAGCUCCGGGAUCAGUGAGAAUGGACACUGCAUCGUCAUCCUGACGUGUGGCAGAGAGCAGAGGAGGCACUGUGACCUGCAGCUGGACACUGCUGGGACCCCAGACAGUUGCAUCUCAUGGAGGGUCUAUUUUCAGGCCUGAGACUCUCUUCCGGAUUACAUUAUCUCAAUAUACUUCCCUCAGAAGACUUUAAGAAGCAGACACCAUUUGGCAGUUUUUGUUCUUAGAAAUACUGUAUGUUUUUUCCAGUGCUCAUGAAGUUUAAGGUGCAGGUAUUUUUAUAAGGUUUUACAUUUUUUUGAAAAAAGGAACAAACCAAGAAACUGGUUUGCCAGUUGGGCCAAGAGGGGGCAACAGUGAGCUAACUCAGGGCUUGCUAUGUGACUUGGAAAAUCCUGUUACCACCAGGUGGCAUUUGUGACCUUGCUUUCCUUCUCCAUUUCUUCUCUCUAUCUUUUUUUUUUUUUUAGAUGGAGUCUCGCUCUGUCAUGUUAUCAGAGCUCAUUGCAACUUCUCAACUUCUACCUCCUGGGCUCAAGCAAUCCUCCUUCCUCAAUCUCCCAAGUAGCUUGGGACUACAGGCCCGCA